RNAcentral lists this non-coding RNA (164 nucleotides) under uncultured Mediterraneibacter sp. Its description in RNAcentral is "Lysine riboswitch". It matches the Rfam family "Lysine riboswitch aptamer". Rfam says of the family: Riboswitches are metabolite binding domains within certain messenger RNAs that serve as precision sensors for their corresponding targets. Allosteric rearrangement of mRNA structure is mediated by ligand binding, and this results in modulation of gene expression. The record is from RNAcentral. Lineage: Bacteria; Bacillati; Bacillota; Clostridia; Lachnospirales; Lachnospiraceae.
GGAUAGAGGUCGCAUUUUUCAUGAGUAUGAUGACGGAUGUAUCAGGGACAUAGGAAAUCAUCAAAAAGGGGAAGAUGCCGAAGGGAUAAGACACCUGAAAUCUUGUUCCUGGGCAUGACGCAAACAGCGGCAUGACUGUCAUCGCAGGAUGGAGAGCUAUCUGA